AGGCGAGACCGCGAGGUGGAGCAAAUCUCAAAAAGACCGUCCCAGUUCGGAUCGCAGGCUGCAACCCGCCUGCGUGAAGUUGGAAUCGCUAGUAAUCGCGGAUCAGCAUGCCGCGGUGAAUACGUUCCCGGGCCUUGUACACACCGCCCGUCACACCAUGAGAGUCGGGAACACCCGAAGUCCGUAGCCUAACCGCAAGGGGGGCGCGGCCGAAGGUGGGUUCGAUAAUUGGGGUGAAGUCGUAACAAGGUAGC
RNAcentral lists this ribosomal RNA (254 nucleotides) under uncultured bacterium. Its description in RNAcentral is "partial 16S ribosomal RNA". It matches the Rfam family "Bacterial small subunit ribosomal RNA", at positions 1247 to 1500 of the family's 1533-position model. The record is from RNAcentral.